GAUGAACGCUGGCGGCGUGCCUAAUACAUGCAAGUCGAACGCACAGCGAAAGGUGCUUGCACCUUUCAAGUGAGUGGCGAACGGGUGAGUAACACGUGGAUAACCUACCUCAAGGUUGGGGAUAACAUUUGGAAACAGAUGCUAAUACCGAAUAAAACUUCGUAUCGCAUGAUACAAGGUUAAAAAGGCGCUACGGCGUCACCUAGAGAUGGAUCCGCGGUGCAUUAGUUAGUUGGUGGGUAAAGGCCUACCAAGACAAUGAUGCAUAGCCGAGUUGAGAGACUGAUCGGCCACAUUGGGACUGAGACACGGCCAAACUCCUACGGGAGCUGCAGUAGGGAAUCUUCCACGAAUGGGCGAAAGCCUGAUGGAGCAACG
Molecule: ribosomal RNA, 378 nt
Filed under: uncultured bacterium
Lineage: Bacteria
Description: bacterial SSU rRNA
Rfam family: Bacterial small subunit ribosomal RNA
Source: RNAcentral